AUUAUAAUUAAGUUCAUCUGUCUAUUUUGUUCUGAGAGUGUAGUGAUUGAGUCAAAAAUAGACCAAAGAUGAGUGUAUAGAAGUAAGAGUGUAACCAUAACUGUCAAACGCGCACAUGGAAAAGAACAACAUAAACAAGGACGAACAAAAACCAAAAAAACACAUCGUUGGAAGAACCGAACACCUUGAGCAGUUGGAUUCGCCAUUGCUCUUUCAACAGUUUUUGGUGAAUCAAGAAAGCCGCCAUCCCGCCACAUUCUGGAUCAGAAGCCACCAAGGAAGGAGGAUAAAUCGUGUUGGCUGAUUGAAAGGCAAAGAAAGAUCGAGCGCAGAACAAUCCACCCUAGGAGCAAUAGAGCCUACCCGAGUGGAAUCAAAGCCGUAGGUUGACAGUACGGUGCCGGUCGCGAAAAAAAAACGGAAUAAGAAGACGAAAGAAAAAUAGCA
This is a long non-coding RNA of Uranotaenia lowii, 447 nucleotides long. RefSeq lists it as uncharacterized. Lineage: Eukaryota; Metazoa; Arthropoda; Insecta; Diptera; Culicidae. The transcript has 3 exons. The record is from RefSeq and is a predicted model, not a curated record.